GUCGAACGAUGAAGCCCAGCUUGCUGGGUGGAUUAGUGGCGAACGGGUGAGUAACACGUGAGUAACCUGCCCUUAACUCUGGGAUAAGCCUGGGAAACUGGGUCUAAUACCGGAUAGGAGCGCCCACCGCAUGGUGGGUGUUGGAAAGAUUUAUCGGUUUUGGAUGGACUCGCGGCCUAUCAGCUUGUUGGUGAGGUAAUGGCUCACCAAGGCGACAACGGGUAGCCGGCCUGAGAGGGUGACCGGCCACACUGGGACUGAGACACGGCCCAGACUCCUACGGGAGGCAGCAGUGGGGAAUAUUGCACAAUGGGCGAAAGCCUGAUGCAGCGACGCCGCGUGAGGGAUGACGGCCUUCGGGUUGUAAACCUCUUUCAGUAGGGAAGAAGCGAAAGUGACGGUACCUGCAGAAGAAGCACCGGCUAACUACGUGCCAGCAGCCGCGGUAAUACGUAGGGUGCGAGCGUUAUCCGGAAUUAUUGGGCGUAAAGAGCUCGUAGGCGGUUUGUCGCGUCUGUCGUGAAAGUCCGGGGCUUAACCCCGGAUCUGCGGUGGGUACGGGCAGACAAGAGGGCAGCAGGGGAGACUG
This 589-nucleotide ribosomal RNA is filed under the name Micrococcus luteus. RNAcentral describes it as "bacterial SSU rRNA". It matches the Rfam family "Bacterial small subunit ribosomal RNA", at positions 61 to 663 of the family's 1533-position model. Lineage: Bacteria; Bacillati; Actinomycetota; Actinomycetes; Micrococcales; Micrococcaceae. The record is from RNAcentral.